UGCGGGAUGGAGCAGUCUGGUAGCUCGCCGGGCUCAUAACCCGGAGGUCGUUGGUUCAAAUCCAGCUCCCGCGACCA
This 77-nucleotide transfer RNA is filed under the name Eggerthella sp. YY7918. RNAcentral's name for it is "tRNA-fMet (CAT) (tRNA-fMet-CAT-1-1)". It matches the Rfam family "tRNA". Rfam says of the family: Transfer RNA (tRNA) molecules are approximately 80 nucleotides in length. Their secondary structure includes four short double-helical elements and three loops (D, anti-codon, and T loops). Lineage: Bacteria; Bacillati; Actinomycetota; Coriobacteriia; Eggerthellales; Eggerthellaceae. The record is from RNAcentral.